RNAcentral lists this transfer RNA (73 nucleotides) under Somanniathelphusa bawangensis. Its description in RNAcentral is "tRNA-Val". The record is from RNAcentral. Lineage: Eukaryota; Metazoa; Arthropoda; Malacostraca; Decapoda; Parathelphusidae.
CAAAGUAUAUCUAAGUUAGUUUAGAAUUUCGCUUACAUUGAAAUUUAUUAUCGUGCAAAUCGGUUUACUUUGA